UACGUAGGGUGCGAGCGUUAAUCGGAAUUACUGGGCGUAAAGCGUGCGCAGGCGGUCCGUUAAGACAGUCGUGAAAGCCCCGGGCUUAACCUGGGAACUGCGAUUGUGACUGGCGGGCUAGAGUGUGUCAGAGGGGGGUGGAAUUCCACGUGUAGCAGUGAAAUGCGUAGAGAUGUGGAGGAACACCGAUGGCGAAGGCAGCCCCCUGGGAUAACACUGACGCUCAUGCACGAAAGCGUGGGGAGCAAACAGG
Molecule: ribosomal RNA, 253 nt
Filed under: uncultured bacterium
Lineage: Bacteria
Description: partial 16S ribosomal RNA
Rfam family: Bacterial small subunit ribosomal RNA
Source: RNAcentral